Molecule: ribosomal RNA, 404 nt
Filed under: Actinomycetes bacterium
Lineage: Bacteria; Bacillati; Actinomycetota; Actinomycetes
Description: Actinobacteria bacterium partial 16S ribosomal RNA
Rfam family: Bacterial small subunit ribosomal RNA
Source: RNAcentral
UGGGGAAUAUUAGACAAUGGGCGCAAGCCUGAUCCAGCCAUGCCGCGUGAGUGAUGAAGGCCCUAGGGUUGUAAAGCUCUUUCACCGGUGAAGAUAAUGACGGUAACCGGAGAAGAAGCCCCGGCUAACUUCGUGCCAGCAGCCGCGGUAAUACGAAGGGGGCUAGCGUUGUUCGGAUUUACUGGGCGUAAAGCGCACGUAGGCGGACUAUUAAGUCAGGGGUGAAAUCCCGGGGCUCAACCCCGGAACUGCCUUUGAUACUGGUAGUCUUGAGUUCGAGAGAGGUGAGUGGAAUUCCAAGUGUAGAGGUGAAAUUCGUAGAUAUUCGGAGGAACACCAGUGGCGAAGGCGGCUCACUGGCUCGAUACUGACGCUGAGGUGCGAAAGCGUGGGGAGCAAACAGG